RNAcentral lists this ribosomal RNA (419 nucleotides) under uncultured bacterium. Its description in RNAcentral is "bacterial SSU rRNA". It matches the Rfam family "Bacterial small subunit ribosomal RNA", at positions 351 to 782 of the family's 1533-position model. The record is from RNAcentral.
GCAGUGGGGAAUAUUGCGCAAUGGGCGGAAGCCUGACGCAGCGACGCCGCGUGAGGGAUGAAUGCCUUCGGGUUGUAAACCUCUUUCAGCAGGGAAGAAGCGAAAGUGACGGUACCUGCAGAAGAAGCACCGGCUAACUACGUGCCAGCAGCCGCGGUAAUACGUAGGGUGCAAGCGUUGUCCGGAAUUAUUGGGCGUAAAGAGCUCGUAGGCGGUUUGUCGCGUCUGCUGUGAAAACUCAGGGCUUAACCCUGAGCUUGCAGUGGGUACGGGCAGACUAGAGUGCAGUAGGGGAGACUGGAAUUCCUGGUGUAGCGGUGAAAUGCGCAGAUAUCAGGAGGAACACCGGUGGCGAAGGCGGGUCUCUGGGCUGUAACUGACGCUGAGGAGCGAAAGCGUGGGGAGCGAACAGGAUUAGA